GACGAACGCUGGCGGCAGGCUUAACACAUGCAAGUCGAGCGCCCCGCAAGGGGAGCGGCAGACGGGUGAGUAACGCGUGGGAAUCUACCGUACCCUACGGAACAACAGUUGGAAACGACUGCUAAUACCGUAUACGCCCUACGGGGGAAAGAUUUAUCGGGGUAUGAUGAGCCCGCGUUGGAUUAGCUAGUUGGUGGGGU
This 200-nucleotide ribosomal RNA is filed under the name uncultured bacterium. RNAcentral describes it as "partial 16S ribosomal RNA". It matches the Rfam family "Bacterial small subunit ribosomal RNA", at positions 28 to 258 of the family's 1533-position model. The record is from RNAcentral.